Callithrix jacchus (white-tufted-ear marmoset) is the source of this 110-nucleotide small nucleolar RNA. Its record names the gene U3. It matches the Rfam family "Small nucleolar RNA U3". Rfam says of the family: Small nucleolar RNAs (snoRNAs) are involved in the processing and modification of rRNA in the nucleolus. There are two main classes of snoRNAs: the box C/D class, and the box H/ACA class. Lineage: Eukaryota; Metazoa; Chordata; Mammalia; Primates; Cebidae. The record is from Ensembl.
AAGACUGUACUUUCAGGGAUCAUUUCUGUAGUUCGUUACUAGAGAAGUUUCUCUGAACGUGUAGAGCACUGAAAACCAAUUUAGAAGAAAAAAAUGCAUUCAAAAGUGGG